ACCCACUCAGUAUUCUUGCCUGGGAAAUACCAUGAACAGAGGAGCCUGGUGGGCUACAGUCCAUGGGUCUCAAAGAGAAAAUCGGUAAAUUAACCACACACACAAAAAACUAUUCCAAAUGUCUUUACAACAUAGAAGUUCAUCUACAUAUCCCUACUGCGAAGUAUCCUAGGGACAAAAAUAACUACAAAGAAAUCUUAAUCUGUUUUAUAUGAUCAAAUCUUUAGUAAUAAUAUCCAUAUUGAAUAUAUGUGUGUAUAUAUAUAUAUUAUUGGGCCACAUCAAAUUUAAUAGCAUGUAUAUUUUGUUGGAACACAUCAAAUGUGUAAAAAUCCAAUGUUCAUAAUAUUUACAGCAAUAGAAUAAAAAGCCUCGUUGUUCCCUUUGGAGAAUGCUAGGAAACAAACACAUUAUUCUGAGAACAGAAACUAAAGAGAAUGAAUAAAGUAUUAUCUUGCCUUUCCUAGAAGAAUUUCACCUCAGGAUAACCUAAGGGAAUAAUUUUAAGGGAAAGUUUUUCUUUAUAGAUAUAUUCCAGUUCAUAAAUAAAGGAAUAGUAAAAUUAAAAUAUUACCAGUCUAGGGUGUAUAGCACAGGGAACUAUAUUCAAUACCUUAAAAUAAACUUUGCUGCUUUCUAGCCAUGUCAUAUUGACAAAUUAUGCAACAAAAAGAAAAAAAUAAACUCUAAAGGAAAAUAUAUGUAUCUAGCUGGAUCAGUUCAGAGAUGACUUCUCUAUCUGAAAGACUUGUGUGUGGCAAGCCAAACUCUCCUCAUCUUCUGGGGACUUGUCUUCCUCCUUUUGAAGUCCCAGGCCUCUACCUGUGUCUCCUUAGCUGAAGAGGACACAGCCUUAUAUUAGCCUCAAUUUCCUGACAGAUUUUGACCAUCAUUGUCUCUGAGAGGCUCUUGUACAUAUAUAUUUAAGUGUGUUUUUCUCCUGUUAUUCUGUCUUAUUUAAUUAUUAGACCAACCCAAGAACCUAGAAAUUUUUUCACCCCUACAAGAAAUAUAUAGAAUUAAUAAAUGUUUUCUUUUAAAAUUAAGUCCACCAUGAAUUAUUUUACUCAUCCUGUGUCUAGGGUGCUCAAGACAUUUAAGUUGAAAGAUGAGUGGGAAUUAAUUUCAACACAAUUGGCAUUUUCUCAAAGAAACCUUCCCUGCAUUCCCAGAUUAGGUCAGCAUUGUGUAGUACUUUAAGUUAUCCCUUUUAAUGUUAAAAUAAUUGUAACUAAAUAAUUAAUUAGGUGAGUAGUUGUUUAAAGCCCUCUGCCCUGGUAAUGAGCCCUGUGAAAUCAAGCACUGUCCAUUUCUGUCUCAUCAUUGCAUUGCUGGCAGAUUACACACAGUAGGCAAUACAGUAUAUUUUUAUUAAAUGAAUAAAAUGUCAUGUUCCUGUGUAAGAAGAACAGAUUCUCAAGUUUGAUGAAAUGCUAAGGACUUGCAAGGAGACAAGAGCCCUGGAUUUAAAUCUUUAACUCCUCAUUUACUGUUUAAGACUGAGUAAAUUACUUACACUGUAAAAACUAAGGAUUUCUAUAAAAUUAAGAAGUGGUGGGAGCAUUUCAAUAAUGCAUUUAAACUUUCUGGAGGGACUUCCCUAGUGGCUCAGUGGUAAAGAAUCUGCCUGUUAAUACAGGAGACAUGGAUUUGAUCCCUGGUCCAGGAAGAUCCCACAUGCCGUGGAGCAACUAAGCAUAUGGGCCACAACUAUUAAGCCUGUGCUCUGGAGCCCGGGAGCCGCAAAUGCUGCAGCCCCCUUGCCCUAGAGCCGUACUUUGCAACAGGAGAAGCCACUGCAACGAGACGCUCCUGCACCACAAGAGAGUAGCCCCCUCUGCAACUAGAGAAGAGCAGGAGCAGCCACUAAGACCCAGCACCGCCGUGUAAGGUAUGGAUCUUGAUCUCCAGAAGUUUGUAGUUCAGUCUUCUGUGAGUUAUAUUAUUACUCCAGUUACAAGAGCACAAGAAGGGGAGAAGAGGAAACUUCCCCCUCCCCAACACACGCAUUCAACACACGUGAACUUCCAGAUGUUCAAGCUCGUUUUAGAAAAGGCAGAGGAACCAGAGAUCAAAUUGCCAACAUCUGCUGGAUCAUUGAAAAAGCAAGAGAGUUCCAGAAAAACAUCUAUUUCUGCUUU
Long non-coding RNA from Bubalus bubalis (water buffalo), 2141 nucleotides. RefSeq lists it as uncharacterized. Lineage: Eukaryota; Metazoa; Chordata; Mammalia; Artiodactyla; Bovidae. The transcript has 3 exons. The record is from RefSeq and is a predicted model, not a curated record.